RNAcentral lists this antisense RNA (75 nucleotides) under Streptomycetaceae bacterium MP113-05. RNAcentral describes it as "ASpks TB sRNA". It matches the Rfam family "ASpks TB sRNA". Lineage: Bacteria; Bacillati; Actinomycetota; Actinomycetes; Kitasatosporales; Streptomycetaceae. The record is from Rfam by way of RNAcentral.
CUUGACCGACCCCAGCCACAGCGGUCGGUCCGCGUCCCGGUCCCGACCGUAGGUGGCCAGCAGCGCCUCGGCCUC